RNAcentral lists this ribosomal RNA (484 nucleotides) under uncultured bacterium. RNAcentral's name for it is "partial 16S ribosomal RNA". It matches the Rfam family "Bacterial small subunit ribosomal RNA", at positions 28 to 507 of the family's 1533-position model. The record is from RNAcentral.
AUUGAACGCUGGCGGCAUGCUUUACACAUGCAAGUCGAACGGCAGCGCGGGCUUCGGCCUGGCGGCGAGUGGCGAACGGGUGAGUAAUGCAUCGGAACGCGCCCAGUAGUGGGGGAUAGCCCGGCGAAAGCCGGAUUAAUACCGCAUACGACCUGAGGGUGAAAGCGGGGGACCGAAAGGCCUCGCGCUAUUGGAGCGGCCGAUGUCGGAUUAGCUAGUUGGUGGGGUAAAGGCUUACCAAGGCGACGAUCCGUAGCUGGUCUGAGGGGACGACCAGCCACACUGGGACUGAGACACGGCCCAGACUCCUACGGGAGGCAGCAGUGGGGAAUUUUGGACAAUGGGGGCAACCCUGAUCCAGCCAUGCCGCGUGCGGGAAGAAGGCCUUCGGGUUGUAAACCGCUUUUGUUCGGGAAGAAAUCCUCUGGGCUAAUACCCCGGGGGGAUGACGGUACCGGAAGAAUAAGCACCGGCUAACUACGUG